This 81-nucleotide transfer RNA is filed under the name Fervidicella metallireducens AeB. It matches the Rfam family "tRNA". Rfam says of the family: Transfer RNA (tRNA) molecules are approximately 80 nucleotides in length. Lineage: Bacteria; Bacillati; Bacillota; Clostridia; Eubacteriales; Clostridiaceae. The record is from Rfam by way of RNAcentral.
GCGGGUAUGGCGGAACUGGCAGACGCGGUAGAUUCAGGUUCUAUUGAGUUUCUCGUGCAGGUUCAAAUCCUGUUACCCGCA